GACGAACGCUGGCGGCGCGCUUAACACAUGCAAGUCGAGCGAUAACCAUGGCUUCGGCCAUGGGGACAGCGGCGAACGGGUGAGUAACACGUGGGCAAUCUGCCCUCGGCACUGGGAUAGCCCGGGGAAACCCGGAUUAAUACCGGAUAGCCUCUCGAGCUCUUGGGCUCGUGAGAAAAGAUAGCUUCGGCUUUCGGCUGAGGAGGAGCCUGCGGCGGAUUAGCUUGUUGGCGGGGUAACGGCCCACCAAGGCGACGAUCCGUAGCUGGUCUGAGAGGACGAUCAGCCACACUGGGACUGAGACACGGCCCAGACUCCUACGGGA
RNAcentral lists this ribosomal RNA (325 nucleotides) under uncultured bacterium. Its description in RNAcentral is "bacterial SSU rRNA". It matches the Rfam family "Bacterial small subunit ribosomal RNA", at positions 28 to 346 of the family's 1533-position model. The record is from RNAcentral.